This 555-nucleotide long non-coding RNA is filed under the name Setaria italica (foxtail millet). Its description in RNAcentral is "long non-coding RNA (SITA_LNC004454)". The record is from RNAcentral. Lineage: Eukaryota; Viridiplantae; Streptophyta; Magnoliopsida; Poales; Poaceae.
CCGCCUCCGUGUUCUCCCCAUUCUGCAAAUGUAUUAAACCACACUAUGAUAAUUCUUCAAUAUAAUAAUCUUUUUCUAUUGUCCUUCAUAUUCUUUUCAAAUACUCAAAACUCACCGUGCUAAUCUCACCUUCUGUUGUCCCAUUCCUCGCUAGUUUGUCCGGAAGCUCCCCUUCCACAAGGCACAUCUCCUCAAAUACUAUAUCGCUCAUAAAUUUGUCGUGUUCCUUUUGGAACGAAGUCUGUUUUUCUAUGGGCUUUGCCACUUCCCAUUCAAUGAUACAUUUGAUAAUUAAAUAUGUGACAUCUAGUAAAUAAAAUUACUGAACAAAAACAUUAUUCUGAGUAAAUACACCUGACCUUAUUCUCUUUCUUCUUGAUUACCUUUCCUUUGCCGCCUUCUUCUUUUGUUUUUUCACUACUUUCACAAAUGUCUGGAACAUCCUUCAAGACCGCUCGUUGCCGAUAAUGAUCCCAGUAUUCUUCAAAAGAUAUGUCUCUGCGCUUAGGCAUCGUUGCACACGGAGGCGUGCUCAGAGGAACUACUACUGGCAAU